UACGGAGGAUCCAAGCGUUAUCCGGAUUUAUUGGGUUUAAAGGGUGCGCAGGCGGUCCUGCAAGUCUGGAGUGAAACGUAUGAGCUCAACUCAUGCAUGGCUCUGGAAACUGGAGGACUGGAGAGCAGGAGAGGGCGGUGGAACUCCAUGUGUAGCGGUAAAAUGCGUAGAUAUAUGGAAGAACACCAGUGGCGAAGGCGGCCUGCUGGACAAUAACUGACGCUGAGGCGCGAAAGCGUGGGGAGCAAACAGG
RNAcentral lists this ribosomal RNA (253 nucleotides) under uncultured Allobaculum sp. RNAcentral describes it as "partial 16S ribosomal RNA". It matches the Rfam family "Bacterial small subunit ribosomal RNA", at positions 524 to 776 of the family's 1533-position model. Lineage: Bacteria; Bacillati; Bacillota; Erysipelotrichia; Erysipelotrichales; Erysipelotrichaceae. The record is from RNAcentral.